RNAcentral lists this transfer RNA (96 nucleotides) under Rhizocola hellebori. RNAcentral describes it as "tRNA-Ser". It matches the Rfam family "tRNA". Rfam says of the family: Transfer RNA (tRNA) molecules are approximately 80 nucleotides in length. Their secondary structure includes four short double-helical elements and three loops (D, anti-codon, and T loops). Lineage: Bacteria; Bacillati; Actinomycetota; Actinomycetes; Micromonosporales; Micromonosporaceae. The record is from RNAcentral.
GGAGAGGUGGCCGAGUCUGGUCAAAGGCGCGGUCCUGCUAAGGCCGAGAUCCUGGGCAACCGGGAUCCGCGGGUUCGAAUCCCGCCCUCUCCGCCA